UUUGCUUCCCAUCGGGCCGAUGUGUGUCGGUCCUAUGGGGAGCAAGUUAGCGGCGAACGGUCGCGUAACACGUAAGCAACCUGCCCCAAAGACCGGGACAACAGCUCGAAAGGGCUGCUAAUACCGGAUGUGGCCAUCUCUUCACCUGUAGGGAUGAUUAAAUCCAGCAAUGGGCUUUGGGAGGGGCUUGCGGCCUAUCAGCUAGUUGGUGGGGUAACGGCCUACCAAGGCGACGACGGGUAGCUGGUCUGAGAGGACGAUCAGCCGGACUGGGACUGAGAUACGGCCCAGACUCCUACGGGGGGCAGCAAUUAGGAAUCUUGCGCAAUGGGCGAAAGCCUGACGCAGCGACGCCGCGUGGAGGACGAAGUCCUUCGGGAUGUAAACUCCUUUUGUCUGGGAAGAAACGAAUGACGGUACCAGACGAAUAAGCCCCGGCUAACUACGUGCCAGCAGCCGCGGUAAUACGUAGGGGGCGAGCGUUGUCCGAAGUUACUGGGCGUAAAGCGCGCGU
RNAcentral lists this ribosomal RNA (514 nucleotides) under uncultured bacterium. Its description in RNAcentral is "bacterial SSU rRNA". It matches the Rfam family "Bacterial small subunit ribosomal RNA", at positions 43 to 572 of the family's 1533-position model. The record is from RNAcentral.